This is a long non-coding RNA of Mauremys reevesii (Reeves's turtle), 613 nucleotides long. RefSeq lists it as uncharacterized. The record is from RefSeq and is a predicted model, not a curated record. The transcript has 4 exons. NCBI's taxonomy places the organism in Eukaryota, Metazoa, Chordata, Testudines, Geoemydidae.
AAUCAAAUGUAAACAAAUGACAUGCACAGUUGACAUGGCAACAAAGCAGCACUGCACGCAAGGGUGGCAGCCGCAGCAAUCAAUUCUCCUGAGCUCAGCACAAGUUUGCUCUAAAGGCCAGAGUAGCCAGGAAACAAAGAACAUAUAAGUCAUUAAGGAAACCCGAGGAAGCUGGAAAAGAGGCGAUAUGAAAAAGGGGCCUUUAUAUGGGAAAAACAGCCGUAUUUGUUAUCGAAGAUCAGUAAACUCUACCCUGCCUUAAAAAGCUGUGGGGCCGGCACCUGUGGACGGGGCAGCGUACAGAGCCGUUCAUCCAUGCCUCUACAUAGGAGCUGGAGGGGGAACAUGCCGCUGCUUCCGGGAGCUCCUUGAGAUCCAAACAGUAACUCAAUGACGGGGGAGUGCUCCAGCAUUUAGACAAGAGAUGCGGAACGGAAGGCAUUCAAGAGCAUUUAAUUAAGAUUAGUUGCAUUUGAAGCAUGUACACAUGCAGGCAGGCAGAGACAGACCCCAACACAGGCAAAGAGAGAAUCAUUCUGAGUAUUUGCAAAGACCCUGUCUGCUUUUCAGCUCUUAGUUUUAGCAAAUUAAACAAACUGAGCCAUUGCACAGA